UUGUGGACUGCUCCUUUUGUCACUGCUUUCACUGGGAGGCCUGGGGAGCCCAAGUUCCCUGCAGGAGGUUGAUUCUUCCAAAAAUCUUUGACCGAUGAGAACACAGCACUGCAACAGCUACUGAGAAGAAAUUAGCUCUACCCGAGCUGGAACCAGGACACCUGAUGAAAGGAUUAUGGCCACGCAUGUGUGUGUUUGCCACAGCUCAGCACUUUUCCCCUCUAAUUCUUAUGCAGAGGAGUGAAUUUGGGGUGUAUGGCAGCACCUGGGACCUGCCGUGUCCACUCAGAGAUGACUAAGCAGAUCCACAGCAGCCAGCAGCUCCAUGGUGUUGGACAAUGCCAUCUGCAAGCCAAGCCCUGCUGACAUCUCUUGCCUUAUCCUGACUGUCUGACACACCUGCUGCACAUGAAGAUGGGGACUAAGAAGUGAACUGUGACACAAGGGUUUUAGCCUGGCUCUCUCUUUACAUUGACUGGAGUCGGUCUGACACG
Corvus hawaiiensis (hawaiian crow) is the source of this 494-nucleotide long non-coding RNA. RefSeq lists it as uncharacterized. NCBI's taxonomy places the organism in Eukaryota, Metazoa, Chordata, Aves, Passeriformes, Corvidae. The transcript has 3 exons. The record is from RefSeq and is a predicted model, not a curated record.